AUGCCUGGAUGCAUACUUGAUCCUUUUUCCCUCCGGGGUGGUGAGAUAAAUCGACGUACUGGCGCACUCGAUGUUCCUCCAUACAUCGACAGCCAAUCCAUGCCCAGUAUCACAUCCAACCCUUGUGACUCCAGAAUUAUAAGGUCUGAGGGGAAAGUAUGA
Molecule: ribosomal RNA, 162 nt
Filed under: Triticum aestivum (bread wheat)
Lineage: Eukaryota; Viridiplantae; Streptophyta; Magnoliopsida; Poales; Poaceae
Description: partial small subunit ribosomal RNA
Source: RNAcentral